CUUCCGCAAUGGACGAAAGUCUGACGGAGCAACGCCGCGUGAGUGAAGAAGGUUUUUCGGAUCGUAAAAACUCUGUUGUUUAGGGAAGAACAAGUGCCGUUCGAAUAGGGCGGCACCUUGACGGUACCUAACCAGAAAGCCACGGCUAACUACGUGCCAGCAGCCGCGGUAAUACGUAGGUGGCAAGCGUUGUCCGGAAUUAUUGGGCGUAAAGCGCGCGCAGGUGGUUUCUUAAGUCUGAUGUGAAAGCCCACGGCUCAACCGUGGAGGGUCAUUGGAAACUGGGGAACUUGAGUGCAGAAGAGGAAAGUGGAAUUCCAAGUGUAGCGGUGAAAUGCGUAGAKAUKUGGAGGAACACCAGUGGCGAAGGCGGCUCUUUGGUCUGUAACUGACGCUGAGGCGCGAAAGCGUGGGGAGCAAACAGGAUUAGAUACCCUGGUAGUCCACGCCGUAAACGAUGAGUGCUAAGUGUUAGAGGGUUUCCGCCCUUUAGUGCUGCAGCAAACGCAUUAAGCACUCCGCCUGGGGAGUACGGCCGCAAGGCUGAAACUCAAAGGAAUUGACGGGGGCCCGCACAAGCGGUGGAGCAU
This 590-nucleotide non-coding RNA is filed under the name Microbacterium sp. SUBG005. RNAcentral's name for it is "bacterial SSU rRNA". It matches the Rfam family "Bacterial small subunit ribosomal RNA", at positions 363 to 940 of the family's 1533-position model. Lineage: Bacteria; Bacillati; Actinomycetota; Actinomycetes; Micrococcales; Microbacteriaceae. The record is from RNAcentral.